GGCCAAUACAUUGGUUGAAGUUCUACACCGAUAAAGUUCUCAUUGAGCUUGGCCAACGAAAGUGUUAUGAGUCUUCUAACAUUUUCAUUCAUCUUUGUGAGUGAACACAUAGAAACACUUGAAGAGAUUGGCAUGGAGUACAGUGUGUUGGCUCUUGAAUCCGACAUUCAAAACUGGCGAUGUGUACGUGCCCUCAAUUGCAUAUCUUCCUUCAUCAUGAAUCUCCAAUGAAGACGUCCAUGUCUUUGUGAGAUAUGCUAUCAAAAUGAAGAGGUGAGAGAAGGAAACAGAAUCAGAGUGAUUCUGCCCCAACCAACAUUUUUUGAUAAAUUGGAGAGUCAUGUUCCCAUUUAUAUAACAGAGUGAAACACAUGCAGUUGCAGAUGAAUUGAAAGCAGCUAGAAAUGAAGUAAAUGACUGCAUCCCAUUACCAGAUGCAAAUUGAGAGCCAUACUCUUCAAAAGCAGAGUGAAGGUCAUAAUGAAAUUUAGCAGAUAUCAAAGGAAAGGAAAUUAACUGAAAGUGAUGCUGUGUCCCACCAAUUGGAUUACUAUGUUGUCGGUGCAUGACAAAUCGUCGCAGUUUUCACAGAUUCAUGAAAUCAUUUUAUAGUAUUAGUAUAUUUCUAAAUAAAAUUUUAAAAAUUUUUACACCCCUUGUAGCUUUGCCAGUCAAGAAAAUAUUUUACAAUCAGUUGUCUUGAGAGAAAAAUCUAACCGUAAAACUACUAUCCAUUAAUCGCGCUAUAUAUAGGUAAUGUUUAUUUUCAGUUGUUGGCC
Molecule: long non-coding RNA, 779 nt
Organism: Mangifera indica (mango)
Lineage: Eukaryota; Viridiplantae; Streptophyta; Magnoliopsida; Sapindales; Anacardiaceae
Exons: 2
Source: RefSeq, a predicted model, not a curated record